UUGGUUUUGGUGUGCGAAGAAGAAAAGGAGAAUGGGGACGGCGGUUGAUGGUUGCGUCAGUCGGAGGUUGUCGUGGGAUGCUGGCGCGGUUGUAAUGGCGAUGACGGAGGAAGGUGAAUGGAAGAAGAGGAGAUGAACACUGGAUUUUGUGAGAAGAGCCCCAAGUCCUUUUUUUUGUUUUUUCUUUCUUUUCGUUUUCAAAGAGAAAGAGAGUUUUUUUAUUUUCG
This 227-nucleotide long non-coding RNA is filed under the name Lathyrus oleraceus (garden pea). RNAcentral describes it as "Pisum sativum (pea) long non-coding RNA (PSAT_LNC022668)". Lineage: Eukaryota; Viridiplantae; Streptophyta; Magnoliopsida; Fabales; Fabaceae. The record is from RNAcentral.